AUACGGAGGGUGCAAGCGUUACUCGGAAUCACUGGGCGUAAAGGGCGCGUAGGCGGCGAUGUAAGUCAAAUGUGAAAGUCCUCGGCUUAACCGGGGAAGUGCAUCUGAAACUGCAUUGCUUGAGUAUGGGAGAGGAAAGUGGAAUUCCCGGUGUAGAGGUGAAAUUCGUAGAGAUCGGGAGGAAUACCGGUGGCGAAGGCGACUUUCUGGACCAAUACUGACGCUGAGGCGCGAAAGCGUGGGGAGCAAACAGGAUUAGAAACCCUAGUAGUCC
RNAcentral lists this ribosomal RNA (274 nucleotides) under uncultured bacterium. RNAcentral's name for it is "partial 16S ribosomal RNA". It matches the Rfam family "Bacterial small subunit ribosomal RNA", at positions 523 to 796 of the family's 1533-position model. The record is from RNAcentral.